This 20-nucleotide non-coding RNA is filed under the name Rattus norvegicus (Norway rat). Lineage: Eukaryota; Metazoa; Chordata; Mammalia; Rodentia; Muridae. The record is from RNAcentral.
AGUUAAAGGGACUUUGAGGU